UUUGUUCUUCUAAAUAAAGACCAGUAUGUAACGGUAAAUGAGGACAACCUGUCUCCUACAACAAAUCAGUGAAACUGAUCUCCCAGUACAAAAGCUGGAAUUAACACAUAAGACGAGAAGACCCUGUGGAGCUUAAAAACAAGCGGCCAAAACCAACUACACACAAACCAACAAAUGGUCGCACGUUUUAAGUUGGGGCGACUUCGGAAAAAAACAAAACUUCCGAGAACAGAACCACAAAUUCUUUCAAAGGACAACAACCCAAAGAACUAACAAUAACAGACCCAGUAAAACUGAGCAACGAACCAAGUUACCCCAGGGAUAACAGCGCCAUCUUCUUCAAGAGUCCAUAUCGACAAGAAGGUUUACGACCUCGAUGUUGGAUCAGGACACCCAAAUGGUGCAGCAGCUAUUAAAGGUUCGUUUGUUCAACGAUUAACAGUCCUACGUGAUC
This 454-nucleotide ribosomal RNA is filed under the name Typhlosaurus caecus. RNAcentral's name for it is "partial 16S ribosomal RNA". It matches the Rfam family "Bacterial large subunit ribosomal RNA", at positions 1968 to 2605 of the family's 2925-position model. Lineage: Eukaryota; Metazoa; Chordata; Lepidosauria; Squamata; Scincidae. The record is from RNAcentral.